ACUAAGCGUACACGGUGGAUGCCCUGGCAGUCAGAGGCGAUGAAGGACGUGCUAAUCUGCGAUAAGCGUCGGUAAGGUGAUAUGAACCGUUAUAACCGGCGAUUUCCGAAUGGGGAAACCCAGUGUGAUUCGUCACACUAUCAUUAACUGAAUCCAUAGGUUAAUGAGGCGAACCGGGGGAACUGAAACAUCUAAGUACCCCGAGGAAAAGAAAUCAACCGAGAUUCCCCCAGUAGCGGCGAGCGAACGGGGAGCAGCCCAGAGCCUGAAUCAGUGUGUGUGUUAGUGGAAGCGUCUGGAAAGGCGUGCGAUACAGGGUGACAGCCCCGUACACAAAAAUGCACAUAUUGUGAGCUCGAUGAGUAGGGCGGGACACGUGGUAUCCUGUCUGAAUAUGGGGGGACCAUCCUCCAAGGCUAAAUACUCCUGACUGACCGAUAGUGAACCAGUACCGUGAGGGAAAGGCGAAAAGAAC
Molecule: ribosomal RNA, 475 nt
Filed under: Escherichia coli
Lineage: Bacteria; Pseudomonadati; Pseudomonadota; Gammaproteobacteria; Enterobacterales; Enterobacteriaceae
Description: partial 23S ribosomal RNA
Rfam family: Bacterial large subunit ribosomal RNA
Source: RNAcentral